ACAACUGGAAUCAUAUAAAAUGCAGCCUAUUCAGACCAACUUCUUUCAGACUCAAAUUAUCAAGUCUUCAAGAAGGAGGGAAGAAAAUUUUCUUCACCCCUACAGAUUUGGUGAGCCAAGAGAACAAAUCACUCUACUCAUUGGGAGCCUGCAGAUGGGAUCCUGGGAAAACUUACAAAAAAACCAGCAAAGAAAGAUAAACAUUUCUUCCGAUGUCUCAUGUCCCUGCCUGCAGUGCCUGGUUGAUGUGGGUGACUCAGAUUAUUGAACCUUCAAAAGGAGAUGAAGAAAAAUUCUUUUUGCCCCUACAUGGCCAUGGAAAUAAAUUCUGGCAAAUGGAAGGGUUUAUGGAAAUGGAGAGUGUGACAGGCUGUCAGAACUAAAAACAAACAAACAAACAAACCAGCAUCUCAACAAAGAGAUCAAGACAUCACUCUGAUCAUAAUAUCAGUGCUAUGGCUUAAAUGUCCCCUCCAAAACUCAUGUUGGAAUUUCAUCCUCAAUGUGCUUGCAUUGAGAAAUGAAUUUUUAAGAAGUGACUGGAUCAUGAAGGCUCUGCUCUCAUGAAUGGAUUAACCCAUUCACAGAUUAAUGGAUUAAUGGGUUAAUGGGUUAUCAUGGGACAGGAAUUGGUGGCUUUACAAGAAAACGAAGAGAGACCUGAGCUAGCAUGUUAGCACACUCAACCUCCUCCCAUGUGAUCCCCUGCACUACCUUGGGACCCUUCAGAGAGUUCCCACCAGCAAGAAGGCUCUCACCAGAUGCGACCUCCUGCCCUUGGACUUCUCAGCCUCCAUAACUACGUGCAUGAAAUUUGGUGCCGCAACUCGGAUUGGGGGACCUCCCUUGGGAGAUCAAUCCCCUGUCCUCCUGUUCUGUGCUCCGUGAGAAAGAUCCACCUAUGACCUCAGGUCCUCAGACCGACCAGCCCAAGGAACAUCUCACCAAUCUUAAAUCAGGUAAGCGGCCUCUUCUUACUCUCUUCUCCAACCUCUCUCACUGUCCCUCAACCACUUUCUCCUUUCCACUCUUCAAUCUCUCCCUUCUCUUAAUUUCAAUUCCUUUCAUUUUCUGGGAAAGACAAAGGAGACACGUUUUACCUGUGGACCCAAAACUCCGGCCUGGUCACGGACUGGGAAGGCCGCCUUCCCUUGGUGUUUAAUCAUUGCAGGGACGCCUCUCUGAUUAUACACCCACGUUUCAAGGGUGUCAGACCACGCAGGGACACCUGCCUUUGUCCUUCACCCUUAGCGGCAAGUCCCGCUUUUCUGGGGAAGGGGCAAGUACCUCAACCACUUCUCUCCUUGUCUCUACCCCUUCUCUGCUUUUCUGGGAGAGGGGCAAGUACCCCUCAACCCCUUCUCCUUCACCCUUAGCGGCAAGUCCUGCUUUCCUAGGGGGCAAGAAACCCCCAAUCGCUUAUUUCCGCACCCCAACCUCUUAUCUCUGUGCCCCAAUCCCUUAUUUCCACACCCUGACCUCUUAUCUCUGUGCCCCAGUCACUUAUUUCCGUGCCCCAACCCCCUUCUCUGCUUUUCUGGAGGGCAAGAACCCUCCACCCCUUCUCCGUGUCUCUACUCUUUUCUCUGGGCUUGCCUCCUUCACUAUGGGUAAGCUUCCACCUUCCAUUCCUCCUUCUUCUCCCUUAGCCUGUGUUCUCAAAAACUUAAAACCUCUUCAACUCACACCUGACCUAAAACCUAAAUGCCUUUUCUUCUGCAAUGCCGCUUGACCCCAAUACAACCUUGACAGUAGUUCCACAUAGCCAGAAAAUGGCACUUUGAAUUUUUCCAUCCUGCAAAAUCUAAAUAAUUCUUGUCGUAAAAUAGGCAAACGGUCUGAGGUGCCUGACGUCCAGGCAUUCUUUUACGUAUCAGUCCCUUCCUAGUCUCUCCAAAUCUUUCUUCUUUCCCUCCCGCCUGUCCCCUCAGUACCAACCCCAAGCGUCGCUGAGUCUUUCUAAUCUUCCUUUUCUACAGACCCACCUAACCUCUCCCUUCCUCCCCAGGCUGCUCCUCGCCAGGCCGAGCUAGGUCCCAAUUCUUCCUCAGCCUCCCCUCCUCCACCCUAUAAUCUUUUUAUCACCUCCCCUCCUCACACCUAGUCCGGCUUACAGUUUCUUCCGUGACUAGCCAUCCCCCACCUGCCCGGCAAUUUACUCUUAAAAAGGUGGCUGGAGCUAAAGGCAUAGUCAAGAUUAAUGCUCCUUUUUCUUUAUCCCAAAUCAGAUAGCGUUUAGGCUCUUUUUCAUCGAAUAUAAAAAUCCAGCCCAGUUCAUGACUUGUUUGGCAGCAACCCUGAGACACUUUACAGCCCUAGACCCUAAAAAGUCAAAAGGCCGUCUUAUUCUCAAAAUACAUUUUAUUACCCAAUCUGCUCCCAACAUUAAGUAAAACUCCAAAAAUUAAAUUCCGGCCCUCAAACCCCACAACAGGAUUUAAUUAACCUCACCUUCAAGGUGUACAAUAAUAGAAAAAAGUUGCAAUUCCUUGCCUCCACUGUGAGACAAACCCCAGCCACAUCUCCAGCACAUAAGAACUUCCAAACGCCUGAACUGCAGUGGCCAGGCAUUCCUCCAGAACCUCCUCCCACAGGAGCUUGCUACACAUGCCGGAAAUCGGGCCCCUGGGCCAAGGAAUGCCCGCUGCCUGGGAUUCCUCCUAAGCCACGUCCCAUCUGUGUGGGACCCCACGGAAAAUCGGACUGUUCAACUCACCUGGCAGCCACUCCCAGAGUCCCUGGAACUCUGGCCCAAGGCUCGCUGACUGACUCCUUCCCAGAUCUUCUCAGCUUAGCGGCUGAAGACUGACACUGCCCGAUCGCCUCGGAAGCCCCUAGACCAUCACGGACGCUGAGCUUCGGGUAACUCUCACAGUGGAAGGUAAGCACGUCCCCUUCUUAAUCAAUACAGAGGCUACCCACUCCACAUUACCUUCUUUUCAAAGGCCUGUUUCCCUUGCCUCCAUAACUGUUGUGGGUAUUGACGGCCAGGCUUCUAAACCUCUUAAAACUCCCCAACUCUGCUGCCAACUUAGACAAUACUCUUUUAAUCACUCCUUUUUAGUUAUCCCCACCUGCCCAGUUCCCUUAUUAGGCUGAGACACUUUAACUAAAUUAUCUGCUUCCCUGACUAUUCCUGGACUACAGCUAUAUCUCAUUGCCGCCCUUCUUCCCAAUCCAAAGCCUCCUUUGCGUCCUCCUCUUGUAUCCCCCAGCCUUAACCCACAAGUAUAAGAUACCUCUACUCCCUCCUUGGCGACCGAUCAUGCACCUCUUACCAUCUCAUUAAAACCUAAUCACCCUUACCCCACUCAACGCCAAUAUCGCAUCCCGCAGCACGCUUUAGAAAGAUUAAAGCCUGUUAUCACUAGCCUGCUACAGCAUGGCCUUUUAAAGCCUAUAAACUCUCCUUACAAUUCCCCCAUUUUACCUGUCCUAAAACCAGACAAGCCUUACAAGUUAGUUCAGGAUCUGCACCUUAUCAACCAAAUUGUUUUGCCUAUCCACCCCGUGGUGCCAAACCCACAUACUCUCCUAUCCUCAAUACCUGCCUCUAUAACCCAUUAUUCUGUUCUAGAUCUCAAACAUGCUUUCUUUACUAUUCCUUUGCACCUUAAUCCCAGCCUCUCUUCACUUCCACUUGGACUGACCCUGACACCCAUCAAGCUCAGGAAAUUACCUAGGCUGUACUGCUGCAAAGCUUCACAGACAGCCCCCAUUACUUCAAUCAAGCCCAAAUUUCUUCCUCAUCUGUUACCUAUCUCGGCAUAAUUCUCAUAAAAACACACGUGCUCUCCCUGCCAAUCGUGUCCGACUGAUCUCUCAAACCCCAGCACCUUCUACAAAACAACAACUCCUUUCCUUCCUAGGCAUGGUUAGCGUGGUCAGAAUUCUUACACAAGAGCCAGGACCACACCCUGUAGCCUUUCUGUCCAAAAAACUUGACCUUACUGUUUUAGCCUAGCCCUCAUGUCUGUGUGCAGCGGCUGCCACUGCAUUAAUACUUUUAGAGGCCCUCAAGAUCACAAACUAUGCUCAACUCACUCUCUACAUUUCUCAUAACUUCCAAAAUCUAUUUUCUUUCUCAUACCUGACACAUAUACUUUCUGCUUCCUGGCUCCUUCCGCUAUACUCACUCUUUGUUGAGUCUCCCACAAUUACCGUUGUUCCUGGCCCAGACUUCAAUCCGGCCUCCCACAUUAUUCCUGAUACCACACCUGACCCCCAUGACUGUAUCUCUCUGAUCCACCUGACAUUCACCCCAUUUCCCCAAAUUUCCUUCUUUCCUGUUCCUCACCCUGAUCACGCUUGAUUUAUUGAUGGCGGUUCCACCAGGCCUAAUCGCCACACACCAGCAAAGGCAGGUUAUGCUAUAGUACAAGCCACUAGCCCACCUCUUAGAACCUCUCAUUUCCUUUCCAUUGUGGAAACCUAUCCUCAAGGAAAUAACUUCUCAGUGUUCCAUCUGCUAUUCUACUACUCCUCAGGGAUUCUUCAGGCCCCCUCCCUUCCCUACACAUCAAGCUCGAGGAUUUGCCCCACCCAGGACUGGCAAAUUAGCUUUACUCAACAUGCCCUGAGUCAGAUAACUAAAAUACCUCUUAGUCUAGGUAGAUACUUUCACUGGAUAGGUAGAGGCCUUUCCUACAGGGUCUGAGAAGGCCACCGCAGUCAUUUCUUCCCUUCUGUCAGACAUAAUUCCUCAGUUUAGCCUUCCCACCUCAAUACAGUCUGAUAACAGAAGGGCCUUUAUUAGUCAAAACAGCCAAGCAGUUUUUCAGGCUCUUAGUAUUCAGUGAAACCUUUAUAUCCCUUAUGGUCCUCCGUCUUCAAGAAAAGUAGAAUGGACUAAAGGUCUUUUAAAAACACACCUCACCAAGCUCAGCCACCAACUUAAAAAGGACUGGACAAUACUUUUACCACUUUCCCUUCUCAGAAUUCAGGCCUGUCCUCGGAAUGCUACAGGGUACAGCCCAUUUGAGCUCCUGUAUAGACGCUCCUUUUUAUUAGGCCCCAGUCUCAUUCUAGACACCAGACCAACUCAGACUGUGCCCCAAAAAAAACUUGUCAUCCCUGCUAUCUUCUCUCUAGUCAUACUCCUAUUCACCGUUCUCAACUACUCAUACAUGCCCUGCUCUUGUUUACACUGCUAGUUUACACUGUUUUUCCAAGCCAUCACAGCUGAUAUCUCCUGGUGCUAUCCCCAGACUGCCACUCUUAACUCUUGAAGUAAAUAAAUAAUCUUUGCUGGCAGGACUAUGCUGAAUCUCCUUAGGCACUCUCUAAUCAGAUAUCCCGAGUCGUCCCAAUUCUUAGACAUUUUAUACCUGUUUUUCUCCUUCUGUUAUUCCAUUUAGUUUCUCAAUUCAUCCAAAACCGUAUCCAGGCCAUCAUCAAUCAUUCUAUACAACAACUGUUUCUUCUAACAUCCCCACAAUAUCACCCCUUACCACAAGACCUCCCCUCAGCUUAAUCUCUCCCACUCUAGGUUCCCACGCUGCCCCUAAUCCCGCUUGAAGCAGCCCUGAGAAACAUCGCCCAUUCUCUCUCCAUACCACCCCCCAAAAAUUUUUGCCGCCCCAACACUUCAACACUAUUUUGUUUUAUUUUUCUUAUUAAUAUAAGAAGGCAGGAAUGUCAGGCCUCUGAGCCCAAACCAAGCCAUCGCAUCCCCUGUGACUUGCACGUAUACGCCCAGAUGGCCUGAAGUAACUGAAGAAUCACAAAAGAAGUGAAUAUGCCCUGCCCCACCUUAACUGAUGACAUUCCACCACAAAAGAAGUGUAAAUGGCCGGUCCUUGCCUUAAGUGAUAACAUUACCUUGUGAAAGUCCUUUCCCUGGCUCAUCCUGGCUCAAAAAGCACCCCCACUGAGCACCUUGCGACCCCCACUCCUGCCCGCCAGAGAACAAACCCCCUUUGACUGUAAUUUUCCUUUACCUACCCAAAUCCUAUAAAACGGCCCCACCCUUAUCUCCCUUCACUGACUCUCUUUUUGGACUCAGCCUGCCUGCACCCAGGUGAAAUAAACAGCCAUGUUUCUCACACAAAGCCUGUUUGCUGGUCUCUUCACACGGACGCGCAUGAAACACAUGAUAACUAAAUAAAUUCAAACUUGGAUAAUUAACAAGACAAAAUUUCAGAAAGGUUUAGGAAAUUAAAAUUUCCCUGGAAAAAUCAAUUGUGGAACAUGCUUUAGAACUUUAAAACAUCCUUGAACAAAAAUUAUACUAUUCCUACUAUCUUCUCUAAAAUAUAUUAUCUUACUUCUGUUUUGC
This 6277-nucleotide long non-coding RNA is filed under the name Homo sapiens (human). RNAcentral's name for it is "HSALNT0142255". The record is from RNAcentral. Lineage: Eukaryota; Metazoa; Chordata; Mammalia; Primates; Hominidae.